CAAUAGCGUAUAUUAAAGUUGUUGCGGUUAAAAAGCUCGUAGUUGGAUUUCUGCCGAGGAUGACCGGUCCGCCCUGUGGGUGUGCAUCUGGCUCAGCCUUGGCAUCUUCCUGAAGAACGUAGCUGCACUUGACUGUGUGGUGCGGUAUUUAGGACAUUUACUUUGAGGAAAUUAGAGUGUUUCAAGCAAGCGUACGCUUUGAAUACAUUAGCAUGGAAUAAUAAGAUAGGACCUCGGUUCUAUUUUGUUGGUUUCUAGAGCUGAGGUAAUGAUUGAUAGGGAUAGUUGGGGGCAUUCGUAUUUCAUUGUCAGAGGUGAAAUUCUUGGAUUUAUGAAAGACGAACUUCUGCGAAAGCAUUUGCCAAGGAUGUUUUCAUUAAUCAAGAACGAAGUUGGGGGCUCGAAGAUGAUUAGAUACCAU
RNAcentral lists this ribosomal RNA (421 nucleotides) under uncultured eukaryote. RNAcentral's name for it is "SSU rRNA". It matches the Rfam family "Eukaryotic small subunit ribosomal RNA", at positions 592 to 1018 of the family's 1831-position model. The record is from RNAcentral.